RNAcentral lists this ribosomal RNA (382 nucleotides) under Clostridioides difficile. Its description in RNAcentral is "partial 23S ribosomal RNA". It matches the Rfam family "Bacterial large subunit ribosomal RNA", at positions 2541 to 2925 of the family's 2925-position model. The record is from RNAcentral. Lineage: Bacteria; Bacillati; Bacillota; Clostridia; Peptostreptococcales; Peptostreptococcaceae.
CACAUCCUGGGGCUGUAGUAGGUCCCAAGGGUUGGGCUGUUCGCCCAUUAAAGUGGUACGCGAGCUGGGUUCAGAACGUCGUGAGACAGUUCGGUCCCUAUCCGUCGCAGGCGUAGGAAAUUUGAGAAGACCUGUCCUUAGUACGAGAGGACCGGGAUGGACGUACCUCUGGUGUACCAGUUGUUCUGCCAAGGGCAUGGCUGGGUAGCUAUGUACGGAAUGGAUAAGCGCUGAAAGCAUCUAAGCGCGAAGCCAACUUCAAGAUAAGAUUUCCCACCGCAAGGGUAAGACCCCAGAAAGACUAUCUGGUUGAUAGGUCGAAGGUGUAAGUGCAGCAAUGUAUUUAGCUUAUCGAUACUAAUAGGUCGAGGACUUGACCAAU